CAGGACGAACGCUGGCGGCGUGCUUAACACAUGCAAGUCGAACGGGGAUUAGUUGAUUGAGAGCUUCGGCAGGAAAUCGAUAAUUCGAGUGGCGGACGGGUGAGUAACGCGUGAGCAACCUGUCCCAGACAGGGGGAUAACACUUGGAAACAGGUGCUAAUACCGCAUAAGACCACGGGAUCACAUGGUUCCGGGGUAAAAGGAGCAAUCCGGUUUGGGGUGGGCUCGCGUCCGAUUAGCCGGUUGGCGGGGUAACGGCCCACCAAAGCGACGAUCGGUAGCCGACCUGAGAGGGUGAACGGCCACAUUGGAACUGAGAGACGGUCCAAACUCCUACGGGAGGCAGCAGUGGGGAAUAUUGGGCAAUGGGCGAAAGCCUGACCCAGCAACGCCGCGUGAGUGAAGAAGGCCUUCGGGUUGUAAAGCUCUGUUAUAGUUGACGAAGGAAGUGACGGUAGGCUAUAAGGAAGCCCCGGCUAACUACGUGCCAGCCGCAGC
Molecule: ribosomal RNA, 498 nt
Filed under: uncultured bacterium
Lineage: Bacteria
Description: bacterial SSU rRNA
Rfam family: Bacterial small subunit ribosomal RNA
Source: RNAcentral